GACGAACGCUGGCGGCGUGCCUAAUACAUGCAAGUCGAACGCUUCUUUCCUCCCGAGUGCUUGCACUCAAUUGGAAAGAGGAGUGGCGGACGGGUGAGUAACACGUGGGUAACCUACCCAUCAGAGGGGGAUAACACUUGGAAACAGGUGCUAAUACCGCAUAACAGUUUAUGCCGCAUGGCAUAAGAGUGAAAGGCGCUUUCGGGUGUCGCUGAUGGAUGGACCCGCGGUGCAUUAGCUAGUUGGUGAGGUAACGGCUCACCAAGGCCACGAUGCAUAGCCGACCUGAGGGGGUGAUCGGCCACACUGGGACUGAGACACGGCCCAGACUCCUACGGGAGGCAGCAGUAGGGAAUCUUCGGCAAUGGACGAAAGUCUGACCGAGCAACGCCGCGUGAGUGAAGAAGGUUUUCGGAUCGUAAAACUCUGUUGUUAGAGAAGAACAAGGACGUUAGUAACUGAACGUCCCCUGACGGUAUCUAACCAGAAAGACACGGCUAACUACGUG
RNAcentral lists this ribosomal RNA (508 nucleotides) under uncultured bacterium. RNAcentral describes it as "partial 16S ribosomal RNA". It matches the Rfam family "Bacterial small subunit ribosomal RNA", at positions 28 to 507 of the family's 1533-position model. The record is from RNAcentral.